Molecule: ribosomal RNA, 451 nt
Filed under: uncultured bacterium
Lineage: Bacteria
Description: partial 16S ribosomal RNA
Rfam family: Bacterial small subunit ribosomal RNA
Source: RNAcentral
GAUGAAUGCUGGCGGCGUGCCUAACACAUGCAAGUCGAGCGGCAGCGAGGGGUGCUUGCACCCUGUCGGCGAGCGGCGAACGGCUGAGUAACGCGUAGGAAUUUGCCCCAAAGUGAGGAAUAACUGCCCGAAAGGGUAGCUAAUGCCGCAUAUGGUCUUCGGAUUAAAGGAUUUAUCCGCUUUGGGAGAAGCCUGCGUUGGAUUAGGUUGUUGGUAGGGUAAUGGCCUACCAAGCCGACGAUCCAUAGCUGGUCUGAGAGGAUGAUCAGCCAGACUGGAACUGAGACACGGUCCAGACUCCUACGGGAGGCAGCAGUGAGGAAUCUUCCACAAUGGGCGAAAGCCUGAUGGAGCAACGCCGCGUGAAGGUUGAAGGCCUUCGGGUUGUAAACUUCUUUUAUGAGUGAAGAAUAUGACGGUAACUCAUGAAUAAGCACCGGCUAACUACGUG